AGAUCUAAGCCAUGCGAGUCGAAUGUAGCAAUACAUGGCGAACUGCUCGGUAACACGUGGACAACCUGCCCUUAGGACGGGGAUAAACCCGGGAAACUGGGGUAUAAUACCCGAUAGGUCUCGAUUGCUGGAAUGCAUCGAGAUUUAAAGCUCCGGCGCCUAAGGAUGGGUCUGCGGCCUAUCAGGUAGUAGUGGGUGUAGCGUACCUACUAGCCUACGACGGGUACGGGUUGUGAGAGCAAGAGCCCGGAGAUGGAUUCUGAGACACGAAUCCAGGCCCUACGGGGUGCAGCAGGCGCGAAAACUUUACAAUGCUGGCAACAGCGAUAAGGGAACCUCGAGUGCCAGGUUACAAAUCUGGCUGUCGAGAUGCCUAAAAAGCAUUUCAUAGCAAGGGCCGGGCAAGACCGGUGCCAGCCGCCGCGGUAACACCGGCGGCUCGAGUGGUAACCGUUAUUAUUGGGUCUAAAGGGUCUGUAGCCGGCCGGAUAAGUCUCUUGAGAAAUCUGGCAGCUUAACUGUCAGGCUUUCAGGAGAUACUGUCUGGCUCGAGGCCAGGAGAGGUGAGAGGUACUUCAGGGGUAGGGGUGAAAUCUUGUAAUCCUUGAAGGACCACCAGUGGCGAAGGCGUCUCACCAGAACGGACCUGACGGCAAGGGACGAAAGCUAGGGGCACGAACCGGAUUAGAUACCCGGGUAGUCCUAGCCGUAAACGAUACUCGCUAGGUGUCGGCCACGGUGCGACCGUUGUCGGUGCCGUAGGGAAGCCGUGAAGCGAGCCACCUGGGAAGUACGGCCGCAAGGCUGAAACUUAAAGGAAUUGGCGGGGGAGCACCACAACGGGUGGAGCUUGCGGUUUAAUUGGAUUCAACGCCGGAAAUCUUACCGGGACCGACAGCAAUAUGAAGGCCAGGCUGAAGACUUUGCCGGAUUAGCUGAGAGGUGGUGCAUGGCCGUCGUCAGUCGUACUGAGCUC
This 976-nucleotide ribosomal RNA is filed under the name uncultured Methanosarcinales archaeon. Its description in RNAcentral is "bacterial SSU rRNA". It matches the Rfam family "Archaeal small subunit ribosomal RNA", at positions 41 to 1024 of the family's 1478-position model. Lineage: Archaea; Methanobacteriati; Methanobacteriota; Methanomicrobia; Methanosarcinales. The record is from RNAcentral.